RNAcentral lists this ribosomal RNA (400 nucleotides) under uncultured bacterium. RNAcentral describes it as "bacterial SSU rRNA". It matches the Rfam family "Bacterial small subunit ribosomal RNA", at positions 359 to 776 of the family's 1533-position model. The record is from RNAcentral.
GAAUAUUGGACAAUGGGCGAAAGCCUGAUCCAGCCAUGCCGCGUGGAUGAUGAAGGCCCUAGGGUUGUAAAAUCCUUUCGUUGGGGACGAUGAUGACGGUACCCAAAGAAGAAGCUCCGGCUAACUUCGUGCCAGCAGCCGCGGUAAUACGAAGGGGGCUAGCGUUGUUCGGAUUUACUGGGCGUAAAGCGCGUGUAGGCGGGCUGGAAAGUUGGGGGUGAAAUCCCGAGGCUCAACCUCGGAACUGCCUCCAAAACUUCCAGCCUGGACUCAAGCAGAGGCAAGUGGAAUUGCGAGUGUAGAGGUGAAAUUCGUAGAUAUUCGCAGGAACACCAGUGGCGAAGGCGACUUGCUGGGCUUGUAGUGACGCUGAGACGCGAAAGCGUGGGGAGCAAACAGG